This 451-nucleotide small RNA is filed under the name Pongo abelii (Sumatran orangutan). RNAcentral describes it as "processed transcript". The record is from RNAcentral. Lineage: Eukaryota; Metazoa; Chordata; Mammalia; Primates; Hominidae.
GUGGGGUUGAGAAGGCUUCUGAGGCUCUCUCUGAGCCGGGUCACCGUGCUGGGAGAAUGGGAUCGGUGGAUGCGGAGAUUGUCUCCAUCGACACUUUCAACAAGUCACCCCCCAAGCGGGGUCUGGUUGUGGGGAUCACGUUCAUCAAGGAUUCAGGGGACAAGGGCAGCCCCUUCCUGAACAUUUACUGCGACUACGAGCCCGGCUCUGAGUACAACCUUGACUCCAUUGCCCGUGAGUGAGGCGUGGACGGGAGGAGGGAGAGGGUCCCCAGCAGGUCCCCCAUGCUAACCUGCCUAUGCCCUGCCUACAGAGAGCUGCCUGAACCUGGAGCUCCAGUUCACUCCCUUCCAGCUGUGCCAUGCAGAGGUCCAGGUCGGGGAUCAACUUGAGACCGUGUUUCUCUUGAGUGGAAACGACCCGGCCAUUCAUCUCUACAAGGAGAACGAGG